UGGGGAAUAUUGCACAAUGGAGGGAACUCUGAUGCAGCGACGCCGCGUGAACGAAGAAGGCUUUCGAGUCGUAAAGUUCUUUUAUAUGGGAAGAUAAUGACGGUACCAUAAGAAAAAGCCCCGGCUAACUACGUGCCAGCAGCCGCGGUAAUACGUAGGGGGCUAGCGUUGUCCGGAAUCACUGGGCGUAAAGGGUUCGCAGGCGGAAAUGCAGGUCAGGUGUAAAAGGCAGUAGCUUAACUACUGUAAGCAUUUGAAACUGCAUAUCUUGAGAAGAGUAGAGGUAAGUGGAAUUUUUAGUGUAGCGGUGAAAUGCGUAGAUAUUAAAAAGAAUACCGGUGGCGAAGGCGGCUUACUGGGCUCAUUCUGACGCUGAGGAACGAAAGCGUGGGUAGCAAACAGG
Molecule: ribosomal RNA, 403 nt
Filed under: bacterium
Lineage: Bacteria
Description: partial 16S ribosomal RNA
Rfam family: Bacterial small subunit ribosomal RNA
Source: RNAcentral